Molecule: microRNA precursor, 113 nt
Organism: Sorex araneus (European shrew)
Lineage: Eukaryota; Metazoa; Chordata; Mammalia; Eulipotyphla; Soricidae
Source: Ensembl
UCUUGUAGAUUAUAUGUAUGUGUGUAUGUGUAUAUAUAUACAUAUGUGUAUACAUAAAUACAUAUAUAUGUGUAUAUAUACAUACAUACACAUAUAUGUGUUUGUACACAUGU